ACGUGGGUAACCUGCCCGUAAGACUUAAGCCAAUCCCGGAAACCGGGGCUAAUACCGGAUGGUUGUUUGAACCGCAAGGUUCAAACAUAAAAAUUGGCUUCGGCUACCACUUACAGAUGGACCCGCGGCGCGUUCCCUAGUUGGUGAGGUAACGGCUCACCAAGGCCACGAUGCGUAGCCAACCUGAGAGGGUGAUCGGUUUUAGUGGGACUCCGACACGGCCCAGACUCCUACGGGAGGCAGCAGUAGGGAAUCUUCCGCAAUGGACGAAAGUCUGACGGAGCAACGCCGCGUGAGUGAUGAAGGUUUUCGGAUCGUAAAGCUCUGUUGUUAGGGAAGAACAAGUACCGUUCGAAUAGGGCGGUACCUUGACGGUACCUAACCAGAAAGCCACGGC
RNAcentral lists this ribosomal RNA (397 nucleotides) under Bacillus sp. DIT 07. Its description in RNAcentral is "bacterial SSU rRNA". It matches the Rfam family "Bacterial small subunit ribosomal RNA", at positions 115 to 497 of the family's 1533-position model. The record is from RNAcentral. Lineage: Bacteria; Bacillati; Bacillota; Bacilli; Caryophanales; Bacillaceae.